CCCUUAGAUGUUCUGGGCCGCACGCGCGCUACACUGAUGUAUUCAACGAGCACUAACCUGUGCAGAAAUGUUCGGGUAAUCUUGUGAAAUUUCAUCGUGAUGGGGAUUGAUUAUUGCAAUUAUUAAUCAUAAACGAGGAAUGCCUAGUAAGCGUGAGUCAUCAGCUCACGUUGAUUACGUCCCUGCCCUUUGUACGCACCGCCCGUCGCUCCUACCGAUUGAAUGUGCUGGUGAAAAGUUCGGAUUGGGAAUAGGAGACGGCAACGUAUCCUGUUUCUGAGAAAAUCUUUAAACCCUCCCAUUUAGAGGAAGGAGAAGUCGUAACA
This 326-nucleotide ribosomal RNA is filed under the name uncultured eukaryote. RNAcentral's name for it is "partial 18S ribosomal RNA". It matches the Rfam family "Eukaryotic small subunit ribosomal RNA", at positions 1470 to 1796 of the family's 1831-position model. The record is from RNAcentral.